UAGCUCAAUUGGUAGAGUGCUUGCCUUGCAUGCACAAGGCUCUGGGUUCAAUCCCCAG
Molecule: transfer RNA, 58 nt
Filed under: Marmota marmota marmota (Alpine marmot)
Lineage: Eukaryota; Metazoa; Chordata; Mammalia; Rodentia; Sciuridae
Also listed under: 2 other names
Rfam family: tRNA
About the family: Transfer RNA (tRNA) molecules are approximately 80 nucleotides in length. Their secondary structure includes four short double-helical elements and three loops (D, anti-codon, and T loops). Further hydrogen bonds mediate the characteristic L-shaped molecular structure. tRNAs have two regions of fundamental functional importance: the anti-codon, which is responsible for specific mRNA codon recognition, and the 3' end, to which the tRNAs corresponding amino acid is attached (by aminoacyl-tRNA synthetases). tRNAs cope with the degeneracy of the genetic code in two manners: having more than one tRNA (with a specific anti-codon) for a particular amino acid; and 'wobble' base-pairing, i.e. permitting non-standard base-pairing at the 3rd anti-codon position.
Source: Rfam by way of RNAcentral